GGGGCUGUGCAGCAAGCGAGAACUUCGGUGGCUGAUGAGAAAGCGGAGCACCCCUCGUUCCCAGCCCGCUCCUCCUCCCACUGCACGCAAUGGUUGCAGGACAUCUUGAGGCUGAUUGCGGAGGUCAGGACUCAACUGGAAAGACCGCAACGGGUUGCUGACUGGCAUCCACGGCCCAGAUAAGAUAAAAACAACUGAUGACAGCGGGGAAGUGAAACAGUCAUCUCAGCACUUGGAUUAAUGCCCGGCGAGAAGGAAGGGGAAAAAAAACGAGGAGGGCCGUCAGGGAGGGGAAGGGGGUGGAAUACGGAUGAGAAUAGAAACUCUGGAAAAAAGCUAUCAGGAGGCAGCAGAGCCGGGUGUUAAAUAUUUAUGAAUUAGCAGCACUCGUCGUGCCCUGCCUGCGCCGUGUGGGUGCUGAGAGGGAUGGGGAUGAGGGGAGCAUGUGGCCGUGGCUGGGCUGCAGCAGCACCACGCAGAACAAAUGCAGGUGAAGAGAAGGAGAAAUGAGGCGCUACGAAAGCCGCUAUUCCAAAAAUUCUGCUGAAGAGCAGCGGGGUAAUUAAAUCAUAAUUGCUUCUUGCUCAGCCUGUGUGACAUUGUGAGUGGCUGAAGGUGGUGAGGAGAGGAGGGGAAGUUUUGCUGCUGCUCCACUCGCAAUGGGGCAGCCCCGGACCUGCUGGGCCCCAACGCUCUGCCCCCGCCCUCUGCUCCGGGCUGGGUGCUGCCUCCCGCUGCAUCCCACUCUGUGCUGUGCUGGCACAGCCCUGGUAUGUGCCAGACCUGGGUGUGAGGAGCUGAAGUGCCAAAUCCGAGAGCUUUGGAGGAGCCAUUCCCAACCGUGAGACAAACAGCCUGCAAAUCCUGUAGGCAGUGAAUUACACUGCGGUGUUGUGUAACGUUUAAGGGGCUGAUGUGACCUGGCAGCAUGAAGGACACUUAGGGCUCAGGCUUAAAAACCUGAACCUUCGCAGCACGUGGCUCCAGGGUGGGUUUUCUCUUCCCCACCGUAGCAGCUGCACUGGGAUCAGAGACUCUUUUCAACUCUGUGGACGUUCCGAGUUCUGCUGAAGUUUCCUCCUUUUUGUUUCAAAGUCACAGAAACACUUGGUGCGUUCCGAAGCGCACUGGAAUGAGGUCCUCCUGCACGUGGGUACAGUUGAGCAGCAGUUCGGAGGUGACGCGGGGAUGCUGGCAUGCAGGGUGCAGGACAUCCCCAGGCUGUGGGCACUGCGGGGGAUGCAGCUCUGCAGCCCCUUACCAACCAUCCCAUCCAUUCUGCUGGGAGCAUGGGAUAAGACCCGCUGUGGUGCUCCCACUUCCAUGGAAAAGAGCAUCCCUGCUGUGGUGGGCUGGAGAAUAACUGUGCAGCUCGUGGGAAGCUCCGGCCUUUGGCACUGUGAGGGAAGGUUGAGCAGGUUGUGCUCCCACCUGGUGUAAUUGUUUCUUCGGUAGCUGUAAGGUGAGUCACGGGGCGGUGCUGUGGAUGAGCAGUGAGCUGAGGAGCUGCCUGCUGCUGUAGGGCUGGGGAUGCUGCAGCCUGCCUGACCUGGGCACAUCCCCUGAGGAGCUUUGGGAGUGAUCCUAGCUGGAACACUCAAAACUACAAAAGUGUGUGUGUGUAUAUAUGUAUGUAUUAUUCUCUAAUGGGAAUCGCCUGUUGCUCCUCCCCAUCCCUCUCACCAUGCAGAUGGGACGUCCCUACCUGGGAUCCCAGUGGGCACCAGUGGGAGUGCUGUGCCCACAGCUGAUCCUGGCACCGGCUGGAAGGCAAUGGGAGGAGGAAAAGGGCUCUGGCGACGCAGACAAUAAAAGUCUCUGCGUUCCACUGAAGUUUCUUGAGCAACUGGCAUUUGCCCAUAAAUGUACUUAAGCAGAAAAUCACCAGAAAAGUGCUAUAAUCUGACAGAUUUUUCACAGGCUUAAAUAUUCAUGAAUUAAAAGAAUUGGCAGAAUUUUCUACAUUAUUAGCUUUCAGCAUGGCUACGGGAGCAGUUGGUGCACUGGCUGCUCUUCAAAAACUAUUAAUCUAGUCUGUCAUCACAGCAGCCAUUUUUUAAUUAGCUACUUUGCUGAACGAUCUGGUGCAGCAGCGAGACUGGAACAUUUACGUGGUAUUAAAGUUUUAAAGGUGCCCCUUUCCAUUUUUAAGCAAAGUUCUGAAACGCAGCAAUAGGGAAGCGAGGCGGAGGCGGAUCGCCCCGCUCCAAUGGUUAACUGCUGCUUUUAUUUUGGAAAACCACGGCUUGGAAUACUGAGCUGCUUCUAUGAGGAGCAGAAAUUGCGUGAAAUAAAUUGGUUCUCUAAA
Gallus gallus (chicken) is the source of this 2308-nucleotide long non-coding RNA. RefSeq lists it as uncharacterized. Lineage: Eukaryota; Metazoa; Chordata; Aves; Galliformes; Phasianidae. The record is from RefSeq and is a predicted model, not a curated record. The transcript is spliced from 2 exons.